This 3080-nucleotide long non-coding RNA is filed under the name Homo sapiens (human). RNAcentral's name for it is "non-protein coding lnc-BMP4-3:2". Lineage: Eukaryota; Metazoa; Chordata; Mammalia; Primates; Hominidae. The record is from RNAcentral.
UGAAGCUCGGCUGGCCCCUGUGGGGAGUGCAGGAGGCUGGGGGUCUACUCCCUACGGUUCCCAGAGAAAUGGUAGCAAGAAGACGGUGUUAUUUCUAAUUGGAUGAUGAAAGUCAGCCUAGGGGACAGAGACCAAAGGGCCAUACGUAAGAAGAGGAGGAAGUGAAAACAUCUGAAUCAAAGGUUGAGGUAAAACUGAGAGACAGUGUUUGCAGUGAACCAUGCAGUAACCUUCAUCUUGCCCCCUGGUCUUCAGGAAACAAGCAAGUGGGGAAGGACCGAAAGAGGGUACUAAAUUUCCAAAUGAUCAGACGUGAAGUUUCAUGGCCCAUAAUGGCUACACAUUUGAAGACUCAAGCAAAUAAAUUAGAAAUAAAGCCUACCAGCAAACCAAAAGAUAAUUACAUGUAAAAGCAAGUCUCCUUGAUUUCUGAUACUUGCACUUAUGAGAAUGAGAAAACAACGAUAGCACAGAGAGAUGGUGGACAUGGAGGACAGGUCCUGUAGGCUCACUUCAUGGGCUUUUUCAUACCCUGACCACUUUCCACGCUGGAUUCAUUUUACUGUAGUGAAACAAUUGGCUGUAGAUAAUGUUAAAAGAUAGGACUUUGGUAACAGGAGAAUUCAUGGAUUCUUGAAAUUCCUGAAUGGAACUGGCUCUCCAGAAGCUACUUGCAGCUCAAAAGAGAAAGAGAGAGAGAAAGCAAGCCAGAGAAACAUUUGAGGUCAUAUAACACUUUGUCUCCAAUGUUCUCAAGGCCUCCCUCUGUGCACAGACCUCACUUUGAAAUUACCACCUGUCACAGGCCUAGCAAAUCCCCUCACCAGAGACCAUGUCUAAUUCUUUGUUUUAAAGGGCACUCGAUGGUUUUCUCCAGAGAAGUCAUCAUCAUCAGUGGCAGCAACAUCCUACUUUAUUUACACAGCUUAGCAUAGGACCAUCCCCACAAUAUAACAAGAAAGAUUUGACCCUGUGGGCUUUUUCCUGUUCUAAAUUUUCUCCUUUUGCUUGGACAAAAGGUCCAUCAUUUCUGAGAAAAAAAAAGGGAGGAUGGGGCUGGGUAAGGAGACUGCCACAGUAACAGCGUAAUGCUAUUAGUCUGAAUUCUCCCAUGACGGAGCCCUCGCUGGGAAAGACAAUUACAGGCAAAAGGGUGAUAACCUCACGAGGCAAUAACCUCCUGAGAGAUCCUGUGCCACAUGUACAGGUUAUUAAUUUCAGGGAAGGAGCCAAACUUCAGGGGCCCUCUCAGAACCGACUCUUUCAAGGUUUGCCCAUCUCUAAUGAGCUGGGUCUUUUUUGCGAUUGUCUAACCACACGAUUUCCUUAAUUCUUAGCUGGUUGCAUAAUGGCAAAGAUAAAUGUGGCUUUUUCCAGCUGCUUCUAAAAUAGGUUCAAGGUUGAAUUAAUAUGAAUGGAAAUACUUUCUGUUCAUGUAAAGGGUUGGAAGAAACCGUAUGUGUGGGAUUUGCUGAUACCUGCUAAAAUGUACACUGUGUGUCCUACAUGGAGGACACAAGACGGGCAGAGGUGGAAUAAUGACUUAUAGGAGCCCCAAAGUCCUAAGACGGUGAAAUUCCACCAAAUUUAUUCCAUUUCAGCAGGAGCUAGAAUAUUCCAAAAUUCAAAAAAAUGGACUUAGUUAUAAAGGAAUCUUUUCAGAAGUCUUGACUCUCAUCACAUACUCAAUGUUAAUUACCAUUUGUGUGUAGAACGGUGUGAAUUAAAACUAAAGAAACAAACAAAAAACUUGCCUUGUUAUUCUGCCAAAGGACCCCAUAAUCUAAUGAGGGAGAAGUGGCACCUGCAGACCAAAGAACACACAAGAUUUCGAAGGUGGUUAUUCCAAGUGAAAACACACAACUGAAAAAGUCCAUGAGGACUGAGUGGAAAUUGACAAGAACAAGGGGAGUUCAUCAGGAACAACUUUUCCAGGAAAACUUGAGGUUCAGAUUUGAGAGGAUAAUAUGGCUGGAUGAAUAGGAGAAAAUAAGCUACUCCAGAGGAAAUGAAGGAAGUUAAGACAUGGAAUCACAAUCCAUUUCACCUCUUUGUUCUUUUCUUUUAACCUUAACUGCAACCUUCCCCAUAGUAAGCAGAGGAAGAGUAGAUAUUGUUUCUGUGGUUAAGUUACAGAAAGUGUGUUGCUUGCUAGGUACUGCAAAGUAUUUUUCUGUUAGUGACAAGCAAAUCAUAUCAAAUUGUUCAAACUCAAUUUCAACUCUUAUAAGAGGAUAGACAUGGGUUUUGAGGAAAUGGUUAUCAUUUGCCUUGUUAUUACCUCAUCUUUGAGCCCCAACAUGUGCCUUUACUACUUAUCCCAGUGAUUCUUUCAAAAAAUUAUUUAAUAAAUCAAAAUAUUCCAUAAGUCAAAAUAUCUUCAGGUUGCGGAUUUACCUUUGACUUUCAUCUUAACCAAUUGUUUAAAAUUCCCCCAUUCUCCUCUCAUCUAUUGUGUAUAAAUUCAGAUUAAAAUGUAGUUAAAUUCAUUAAUGCUCAUUAUUUAUGUGUCUAAGACUGAUACUAAUAAUGACAACCAUGUAUUCGACACUUUCCAAACUGCAGGCCGUAGGCUCAGUCCUUUGUUUUGUUAGUUUAUUUAAUCAUGGGAAAAAUGAGACACAGAGUGACUGAGCAAUUUGCCUGGAAUCACACAACUAAUACGUGGUAGAGUGAGGACUCAAAGUCUUGCUUUUGGCCCCCAGGCUGGAGUGCGAUGGCGUGAUCUCAGCUCACUGCAACCUCUGCCUCCCAGGUUCAAGCAAUUCUCCUGCCUCGAUCCCCCGAGUAGCUGAGAUUACAGGAGCCUGCCACCAUGCCCGGCUAAUUUUUGUAUUUUUAGUAGAGACGGGUUUCACUAUGUUGGCCAGUCUGGUCUAGAACUCCUGACCUCAGGUGAUCUACCCGCCUCGGCCUCCCAAAGUGCUGGGAUUACAGGUGUGAGCCACGGCGCCUGGCCAGCGUUCUUCUCAUUCUUCAUAGAGAUCUCCACGUCAAUCAAACUGCUUAUACCCAUGCAUGACUUCAUUAUAUGUAUUUUUAAAUGUUCUUAUACAAAUAUUUUUAUCCCUUCAUCAAGA